This 660-nucleotide ribosomal RNA is filed under the name uncultured bacterium. RNAcentral describes it as "bacterial SSU rRNA". It matches the Rfam family "Bacterial small subunit ribosomal RNA", at positions 94 to 788 of the family's 1533-position model. The record is from RNAcentral.
AGUGGCGGACGGGUGAGUAACGCGUGAGAAUCUGCCUUGGGGUCGGGGACAACCACUGGAAACGGUGGCUAAUACCGGAUAAGCCGAUUGGUGAAAGAUUUAUUGCCCGAAGAGGAGCUCGCGUCUGAUUAGCUAGUUGGUGAGGUAAGAGCUCACCAAGGCAGCGAUCAGUAGCUGGUCUGAGAGGACGAUCAGCCACACUGGGACUGAGACACGGCCCAGACUCCUACGGGAGGCAGCAGUGGGGAAUUUUCCGCAAUGGGCGAAAGCCUGACGGAGCAAGACCGCGUGAGGGAGGAAGGCUCUUGGGUUGUAAACCUCUUUUCUCAGGGAAGAAGCUCUGACGGUACCUGAGGAAUCAGCCUCGGCUAACUCCGUGCCAGCAGCCGCGGUAAUACGGAGGAGGCAAGCGUUAUCCGGAAUUAUUGGGCGUAAAGCGUCCGCAGGUGGCGAUUCAAGUCUGCUGUCAAAGCACGGGGCUUAACUCCGUAAAGGCAGUGGAAACUGAAUAGCUAGAGUGCCGUAGGGGUAGAGGGAAUNCCCGGUGUAGCGGUGAAAUGCGUAGAGAUCGGGAAGAACAUCGGUGGCGAAAGCGCUCUACUGGACGGCAACUGACACUCAGGGACGAAAGCUAGGGGAGCGAAUGGGAUUAGAUACCCC